CAGAAGUGAAACGCCGUAGCGCCGAUGGUAGUGUGGGGUCUCCCCAUGUGAGAGUAGGGAACUGCCAGGC
RNAcentral lists this ribosomal RNA (70 nucleotides) under Enterobacter sp. WP_7_1. The record is from RNAcentral. Lineage: Bacteria; Pseudomonadati; Pseudomonadota; Gammaproteobacteria; Enterobacterales; Enterobacteriaceae. RNAcentral also lists the same sequence under 1 other name.